GACGAACGCUGGCGGCGUGCUUAACACAUGCAAGUCGAACGGAAAGGCCCUGCUUUUGUGGGGUGCUCGAGUGGCGAACGGGUGAGUAACACGUGAGUAACCUGCCCUUGACUUUGGGAUAACUUCAGGAAACUGGGGCUAAUACCGGCUAGUAACUUCUGCUGCCUGGUGGGGGUUGGAAAGUUUCGGCGGUUGGUGAUGGACUCGCGGCUUAUCAGCUUGUUAGUGGGGUAGUGGCUUACCCAGGCUUUGACGGAUAGCCGGCAUGAGAGGGUGACCGGCGACAAGGGGACUAAGAUACGGCCCAGACUCCUACGGGAGGCAGCAGUGGGAAGCAUUGCGCAAUGGGCGGAAGCCUGAGGCGGCAACGCCGCGUGCGGGAUGACGGCCUUCGGGGUGUAAACCGCGUUCGGCUGAGACUAAGCGUGAUUGACGGUAAUGGGUAAAGAAGCACCGGCUAACUACGUG
RNAcentral lists this ribosomal RNA (468 nucleotides) under uncultured bacterium. RNAcentral's name for it is "partial 16S ribosomal RNA". It matches the Rfam family "Bacterial small subunit ribosomal RNA", at positions 28 to 507 of the family's 1533-position model. The record is from RNAcentral.